AUUUAUAGGACAUCCUCCAUCUACAGUUCAGGCUCCAAUCUUUUUAUUUUAGAUUACAUCUUCUCUAUGAUUCUAGAAAGUUGCAUUUCCAUAGCUUUUAUCAUGACAAUGAACCUUGAGUGAGCAAACAAGCUCCAAUUCAAAUACCUUUUGAUAUGCCAUUGAAGCUUUUAACAUUGGAUGUGUACUGUUUGGUAGCUAUUGGCUCAAAACCUGGUAGAAAAUUCAAGUCUUUUUUAUUUGCAGGUUAUAGGGGAGUUGUUGGAUCAUUUAACUAGCUGGGAUGUCAGAACAUAAUCUAUUGUUGCAGUAUGAUGUAGACCGGCGUAUUUGGAAAAGUUGCACCAGUCCUCUCUCUGGACUAGUGUAUUUGGAUCUGCUGAACCGUAUGACUAUGAUGAUGAGAAGGAAUUGGGUAUGAUCCCAUCGCUGUCGAGCAUGUUCACCCUCAGCUACCGUGGGUCCACACCAAAGUAUGAUCCUAUUGCUCCUAAGGAAGCUUUCACAGUCUUUGACUUACUCGGCAUCACACUUCAGCCAUUGGAAGGCUACCUGCAUCCAACAACUCGGCACUGAGGUGCAGAUGGAUAAACCAAGAGAGGUUAAUAUCAUGCUCACCAGCAAAGGGAUACUGAAAUGAAGGGCUGUGCUUAUCAAGGUGAAAUGUCCCACUCUCGCCGGCAAAGUUGCAGAAGGUAGUCAGGAACUCAGGCAAUCUGAAGAUGGGGUUCUCGUGCACGGCGUCCUUCAUACCAUCAAUGCACAAUCUGCACGAUCUUGCACGCCUCAUGAAUCGUUGCAUGAGAGGAAAUGCAGUUGGUGGGGAGCAUGGAUGCCAAUGCAACCGAACAUAGGAAUUUUUCAGCCUGUGAUUGUGAGUCUAAUAACAGGGAGUUUUUAGGCCUCUGUUAUCAUCAGUCGACAGCAUGUAUCUGGUGCAACCAGUGCAUACAAAUUGCAUGCAACAUGUAACAUCCAAUUGGAGCAUGGAAGGAUACAACUGCAAGCAACAGACAAUUCAAAGCAAAAAAUACUAGUAAGAUGAGAAGGUAGAAUUUCCUGAGUGGACACAUUUUAUGAAUUACAAUCCAAAUUGCAAUGCAUAGAUUUUAAUAAAUUUAAAUUAUUACAAGCUUUAAUA
Molecule: long non-coding RNA, 1141 nt
Organism: Magnolia sinica
Lineage: Eukaryota; Viridiplantae; Streptophyta; Magnoliopsida; Magnoliales; Magnoliaceae
Exons: 4
Source: RefSeq, a predicted model, not a curated record